UACGGAGGGGGCUAGCGUUGUUCGGAAUUACUGGGCGUAAAGCGCGCGCAGGCGGUCUUCCAAGUCAGUGGUGAAAGCCCGGAGCUCAACUCCGGAACUGCCAUUGAAACUGUUAGACUUGAGGAUGAGAGAGGUGAGUGGAAUUCCCAGUGUAGAGGUGAAAUUCGUAGAUAUUGGGAAGAACACCGGUGGCGAAGGCGGCUCACUGGCUCAUUACUGACGCUCAGGCGCGAUAGCGUGGGGAUCAAACAGG
Molecule: ribosomal RNA, 253 nt
Filed under: uncultured bacterium
Lineage: Bacteria
Description: partial 16S ribosomal RNA
Rfam family: Bacterial small subunit ribosomal RNA
Source: RNAcentral